CCUUGACUUUGGGAUAACUUCAGGAAACUGGGGCUAAUACCGGAUAGGAGCUCCUGCUGCAUGGUGGGGGUUGGAAAGUUUCGGCGGUUGGGGAUGGACUCGCGGCUUAUCAGCUUGUUGGUGGGGUAGUGGCUUACCAAGGCUUUGACGGGUAGCCGGCCUGAGAGGGUGACCGGCCACAUUGGGACUGAGAUACGGCCCAGACUCCUACGGGAGGCAGCAGUGGGGAAUAUUGCACAAUGGGCGGAAGCCUGAUGCAGCAACGCCGCGUGCGGGAUGACGGCCUUCGGGUUGUAAACCGCUUUCGCCUGUGACGAAGCGUGAGUGACGGUAAUGGGUAAAGAAGCACCGGCUAACUACGUGCCAGCAGCCGCGGUGAUACGUAGGGUGCGAGCGUUGUCCGGAUUUAUUGGGCGUAAGGGCUCGUAGGUGGUUGAUCGCGUCGGAAGUGUAAUCUUGGGGCUUAACCCUGAGCGUGCUUUCGAUACGGGUUGACUUGAGGAAGGUAGGGGAGAAUGGAUUUCCUGGUGGAGCGGUGGAAUGCGCAGAUGUCAGGAGGAACACCAGUGGCGAAGGCGGUUCUCUGGGCCUUUCCUGACGCUGAGGAGCGAAAGCGUGGGGAGCGAACAGGCUUAGAUACCCUGGUAGUCCACGCUGUAAACGGUGGGUACUAGGUGUGGGGUCCAUUCCACGGGUUCCGUGCCGUAGCUAACGCUUUAAGUACCCCGCCUGGGGAGUACGGCCGCAAGGCUAAAACUCAAAGGAAUUGACGGGGCCCCGCACAAGCGGCGGAGCAUGCGGAUUAAUUCGAUGCAACGCGUAGAACCUUACCUGGGUUUGACAUGGAUCGGGAGUGCUCAGAGAUGGGUGUGCCUCUUUUGGGGUCGGUUCACAGGUGGUGCAUGGCUGUCGUCAGCUCGUGUCGUGAGAUGUUGGGUUAAGUCCCGCAACGAGCGCAACCCUUGUUCACUGUUGCCAGCACGUUAUGGUGGGGACUCAGUGGAGACCGCCGGGGUCAACUCGGAGGAAGGUGGGGAUGACGUCAAGUCAUCAUGCCCCUUAUGUCCAGGGCUUCACGCAUGCUACAAUGGCUGGUACAGAGAGUGGCGAGCCUGUGAGGGUGAGCGAAUCUCGGAAAGCCGGUCUCAGUUCGGAUUGGGGUCUGCAACUCGACCUCAUGAAGUCGGAGUCGCUAGUAAUCGCAGAUCAGCAACGCUGCGGUGAAUACGUUCCCGGGGCU
RNAcentral lists this ribosomal RNA (1240 nucleotides) under uncultured bacterium. RNAcentral's name for it is "bacterial SSU rRNA". It matches the Rfam family "Bacterial small subunit ribosomal RNA", at positions 130 to 1381 of the family's 1533-position model. The record is from RNAcentral.